Molecule: ribosomal RNA, 440 nt
Filed under: uncultured bacterium
Lineage: Bacteria
Description: partial 16S ribosomal RNA
Rfam family: Bacterial small subunit ribosomal RNA
Source: RNAcentral
CCUACGGGUGGCAGCAGUGGGGAAUAUUGCACAAUGGGGGAAACCCUGAUGCAGCGACGCCGCGUGAGUGAAGAAGUAUUUCGGUACGUAAAGCUCUAUCAGCAGGGAAGAAAAUGACGGUACCUGACUAAGAAGCCCCGGCUAACUACGUGCCAGCAGCCGCGGUAAUACGUAGGUGGCAAGCGUUAUCCGGGUUUACUGGGUGUAAAGGGAGCGUAGACGGCAGCGCAAGUCUGGAGUGAAAGGCCAUGGCUUAACCAGGGAACUGCUUUGGAAACUGUGCGGCUAGAGUGCAGGAGAGGUAAGCGGAAUUCCUAGUGUAGCGGUGAAAUGCGUAGAUAUUAGGAGGAACACCAGUGGCGAAGGCGGCUUACUGGACUGUAACUGACGUUGAGGCUCGAAAGCGUGGGGAGCAAACAGGAUUAGAUACCCUUGUAGUC